UACGUAAGGUCCGAGCGUUGUCCGGAAUCAUUGGGCGUAAAGGGUAUGUAGGCGGAUAAGCAAGUUAGAAGUGAAAUCCUAUAGCUUAACUAUAGUAAGCUUUUAAAACUGCUUAUCUUGAGGUAUGUAAGGGAAAGUGGAAUUCCUAGUGUAGCGGUGAAAUGCGCAGAUAUUAGGAGGAAUACCGGUGGCGAAGGCGGCUUACUGGGCUCAUUCUGACGCUGAGGAACGAAAGCGUGGGUAGCAAACAGG
Molecule: ribosomal RNA, 252 nt
Filed under: uncultured bacterium
Lineage: Bacteria
Description: partial 16S ribosomal RNA
Rfam family: Bacterial small subunit ribosomal RNA
Source: RNAcentral